UGGGGAAUAUUGCGCAAUGGGCGAAAGCCUGACGCAGCAACGCCGCGUGAGUGAUGAAGGCCUUCGGGUCGUAAAGCUCUGUCGGAGGGAACGAAUGCUCCUGAAGUUAACAGCCUCAGGAGGUGACGGUACCCUCAAAGGAAGCACCGGCUAACUCUGUGCCAGCAGCCGCGGUAAUACAGAGGGUGCAAGCGUUGUUCGGAAUCAUUGGGCGUAAAGGGCGUGUAGGCGGUAUGUUAAGUCAUGUGUGAAAUCCCUCGGCUUAACCUGGGAACUGCGUCUGAUACUGGAGGGCUUGAGUAUGGGAGAGGGAUGUAGAAUUCCAGGUGUAGCGGUGAAAUGCGUAGAUAUCUGGAGGAAUACCGGUGGCGAAGGCGGCAUCCUGGACCAUUACUGACGCUGAGGCGCGAAAGCUAGGGGAGCAAACGGGAUUAGAUACCCCCGUAGUCCCUGAGCGGGCUGGCAAGGCGCAU
RNAcentral lists this ribosomal RNA (473 nucleotides) under uncultured bacterium. Its description in RNAcentral is "bacterial SSU rRNA". It matches the Rfam family "Bacterial small subunit ribosomal RNA", at positions 355 to 825 of the family's 1533-position model. The record is from RNAcentral.